Molecule: long non-coding RNA, 303 nt
Organism: Astyanax mexicanus (Mexican tetra)
Lineage: Eukaryota; Metazoa; Chordata; Actinopteri; Characiformes; Acestrorhamphidae
Exons: 2
Source: RefSeq, a predicted model, not a curated record
UGUGUGUGAUAGUUCAGAUACAUGUGAGGGGAAAAACUUUGGCCGUCCUCGUCGUGUGGCUUGUGUUUGUGUGUUUGCAGCAGGUCUAGGACAGUGGUGUAGGUCAGAAAGGUGGGCUGCACAGCAGGAGGCGUAACAGAGGAGCUAUUUUGGGGGCGCCGUUCACAUGUGGGAGGAGAGGCCAUAAAUCAGCCAUCAGAAAUCCACUACACUGAUUUCUCCUCCACCAUCGCUCAUCUGACCACUCUCUAACCAACACUUCUCCAUACAGGGCACGUAGCGCAAGGUGACCAUGUCUGAGGG